Molecule: ribosomal RNA, 444 nt
Filed under: uncultured bacterium
Lineage: Bacteria
Description: partial 16S ribosomal RNA
Rfam family: Bacterial small subunit ribosomal RNA
Source: RNAcentral
CCAGACUCCUACGGGAGGCAGCAGUGGGGAAUAUUGCACAAUGGGGGAAACCCUGAUGCAGCGACGCCGCGUGAAGGAAGAAGUAUUUCGGUAUGUAAACUUCUAUCAGCAGGGAAGAAAAUGACGGUACCUGACUAAGAAGCCCCGGCUAACUACGUGCCAGCAGCCGCGGUAAUACGUAGGGGGCAAGCGUUAUCCGGAUUUACUGGGUGUAAAGGGAGCGUAGGCGGUUUAGCAAGUCAGAAGUGAAAGCCCGGGGCUCAACUCCGGGACUGCUUUUGGAACUGCGCGGCUGGAGUGCAGGAGGGGCAGGCGGAAUUCCUGGUGUAGCGGUGAAAUGCGUAGAUAUCAGGAGGAGCACCGGUGGCGAAGGCGGCCUGCUGGACUGCGACUGACGUUGAGGCCCGAAAGCGUGGGGAGCAAACAGGAUUAGAUACCCCAGUA